Molecule: ribosomal RNA, 495 nt
Filed under: uncultured bacterium
Lineage: Bacteria
Description: partial 16S ribosomal RNA
Rfam family: Bacterial small subunit ribosomal RNA
Source: RNAcentral
GACGAACGCUGGCGGCGUGCCUAAUACAUGCAAGUGGAACGCUGAAGGAGGAGCUUUCUCUUCUGGAUGAGUUGCGAACGGGUAAGUAACGCGUAUGUAACCUGCCUCUUAGCGGGUGAGAACUAUUGGAAACGAUAGCUAAUACCGCAUAACAGUUGAUGUUGCAUGACAUUUACUUAAAAGAUGCAAUUUCACCACUACCAGAUGGACCUGCGUUGUAUUAGGUAGUUGUUGGGGUAACGGCCCACCAAGGCGACGAUACAGAGGCGGCCUGAGAGGGGGAACGGGCACCAUGGGACCGGGACACGGCCCCGAACUCUACGGGAGGGAGCAGGAGGGAAUCUUCGGGAAUGGACGGAAGUCUGACCGAGGAACGCCGCGGGAGUGGAGAAGGGUGUCGGAUCGUUAAGCUUCGUUGUAAGAGAAGAACGAGUGUGAGAGUGGAAAGUUCACACUGUGACGGUAUCUGACCAGAAAGGGACGGCUAACUACGUG